CCUACGGGUGGCAGCAGUGGGGAAUAUUGGACAAUGGGCGAAAGCCUGAUCCAGCGACGCCGCGUGAGUGAAGAAGUAUUUCGGUAUGUAAAGCUCUGUCAGCAGGGAAGAAAAUGACGGUACCUGACCAAGCCGCCCCGGCUAACUACGUGCCAGCAACCGCGGUAAAACGUAGGGGGCAAGCGUUAUCCGGAUUUACUGGGGGAAAAGGGAGCGUAGACGGCAGGGCAAGUCUGGAGUGAAAGGCGGGGGCUAAACCCCCGUACUGCUCUGGAAACUGCUAGGCUGGAGUGCAGGAGAGGUAAGUGGAAUUCCUAGUGUAGCGGUGAAAUGCGUAGAUAUUAGGAGGAACACCAGUGGCGAAGGCGGCUUACUGGACUGUAACUGACGUUGAGGCUCGAAAGCGUGGGGAGCAAACAGGAUUAGAUACCCGAGUAGUC
RNAcentral lists this ribosomal RNA (440 nucleotides) under uncultured bacterium. RNAcentral's name for it is "partial 16S ribosomal RNA". It matches the Rfam family "Bacterial small subunit ribosomal RNA", at positions 338 to 795 of the family's 1533-position model. The record is from RNAcentral.